This 242-nucleotide unclassified non-coding RNA is filed under the name uncultured Nocardioidaceae bacterium. RNAcentral's name for it is "contains 16S-23S intergenic spacer region". Lineage: Bacteria; Bacillati; Actinomycetota; Actinomycetes; Propionibacteriales; Nocardioidaceae. The record is from RNAcentral.
UCCGAGUUGUCCCCGGCAGUCCCUCUAGAGCGGCAUGGUGUAUGUCAAACCCAGGUAAGGUUCUUCGCGUUGCAUCGAAUUAAUCCGCAUGCUCCGCCGCUUGUGCGGGCCCCCGUCAAUUCCUUUGAGUUUUAGCCUUGCGGCCGUACUCCCCAGGCGGGGCGCUUAAUGCGUUAGCUACGGCACGGAAUCCGUGGAAACAGAUCCCACACCUAGCGCCCAACGUUUACGGUGUGGACUAC